GUAAGGAAUAUUGGACAAUGGACGCAAGUCUGAUCCAGCCAUGCCGCGUGAAGGAUUAAGGUCCUCUGGAUUGUAAACUUCUUUUAUAAGGGACGAAAAAAGGCUUUUCUAAGUCGUCUGACGGUACCUUAUGAAUAAGCACCGGCUAACUCCGUGCCAGCAGCCGCGGUAAUACGGAGGGUGCAAGCGUUAUCCGGAUUCACUGGGUUUAAAGGGUGCGUAGGCGGGCAGGUAAGGCAGUGGUGAAAUCCUAGAGCUUAACUCUAGAACUGCCAUUGAUACUAUCUGUCUUGAAUAUUGUGGAGGUAAGCGGAAUAUGUCAUGUAGCGGUGAAAUGCUUAGAUAUGACAUAGAACACCUAUUGCGAAGGCAGCUUACUACGCAUAUAUUGACGCUGAGGCACGAAAGCGUGGGGAUCAAACAGGAUUAGAUACCCGUGUAGUCC
Molecule: ribosomal RNA, 445 nt
Filed under: uncultured bacterium
Lineage: Bacteria
Description: bacterial SSU rRNA
Rfam family: Bacterial small subunit ribosomal RNA
Source: RNAcentral